GUGAGGAAUUUUCCGCAAUGGGCGAAAGCCUGACGGAGCAAUGCCGCGUGAAGGAUGAAGGCCUAUGGGUUGUAAACUUCUUUUCUCAGAAAAGAAUUAUGACGGUAUCUGAGGAAUAAGCAUCGGCUAACUCUGUGCCAGCAGCCGCGGUAAGACAGAGGAUGCAAGCGUUAUCCGGAAUGAUUGGGCGUAAAGCGUCUGUAGGUUGUUUAAAAAGUAUGCUGUCAAAGAUUAGGGCUUAACCCUAGAUAGGCAGAAUAAACUUUUAAGCUAGAGUUUGGUAGGGGGAGAGGGAAUUCCCGGUGGAGCGGUGAAAUGCGGAGAUAUCUAGAGGAACACCCAAGGCGAAGGCACGCUGCUGGGCCAAUACUAACACUGAGAGACGAAAGCGAGGGGAGCAAAUGGGAUUAGAUACCCUGGUAGUCC
This 426-nucleotide ribosomal RNA is filed under the name uncultured bacterium. RNAcentral describes it as "partial 16S ribosomal RNA". It matches the Rfam family "Bacterial small subunit ribosomal RNA", at positions 354 to 796 of the family's 1533-position model. The record is from RNAcentral.